UACGUAGGGUGCAAGCGUUAAUCGGAAUUACUGGGCGUAAAGCGUGCGCAGGCGGUUUUGUAAGUUUGUCGUGAAAGCCCCGGGCUCAACCUGGGAAUUGCGUUGGAGACUGCAAGGCUAGAAUCUGGCAGAGGGGGGUAGAAUUCCACGUGUAGCAGUGAAAUGCGUAGAGAUGUGGAGGAACACCGAUGGCGAAGGCAGCCCCCUGGGUCAAGAUUGACGCUCAUGCACGAAAGCGUGGGGAGCAAACAGG
RNAcentral lists this ribosomal RNA (253 nucleotides) under uncultured bacterium. Its description in RNAcentral is "partial 16S ribosomal RNA". It matches the Rfam family "Bacterial small subunit ribosomal RNA", at positions 524 to 776 of the family's 1533-position model. The record is from RNAcentral.